UUACAUAUGCUUGCCUUAAAGAUUAACCCAUGCAUGUGCCAGUUCAGUAUUGAACAGCGAAACUGCGAAUGGCUCAUUAAAACAGUUAUAGUUUAUUUGAUAAUAAUUCUUACAUGGAUAACCGAGCUAAUUGUUGGGCUAAUACAUGCUUAAAGUCCACUGCCUGUGUAGUGGAUGUAUUUAUUAGAUAUCAAACUAAUCGCAGCAAUGUGAUUAAGAUGAAUCAAAGUAACUGACCGAAUCGCAGGACUCUGCGAUAAAUCAUCUAAGUUUCUGCCCUAUCAGCUCACGAUGGUAGUGUAUUGGACUACCAUGGCGCUCACGGGUAACGGAGAAUUAGGGUUCGAUUCCGGAGAAGGAGCCUGAGAAACGGCUACUACACCUACGGGUAGGCAGCAGGGGCGUAAAUUACCCAAUCCUAAUUCAGGGAGGUAGUGACAAGAAAUAUCAAGUCGGGAAGAUUUUCUUCUACGGCAUUGAAAUGAGAACAGUGUAAAUCUCUUAGCGAGGAACAAUU
RNAcentral lists this ribosomal RNA (517 nucleotides) under uncultured eukaryote. RNAcentral describes it as "bacterial SSU rRNA". It matches the Rfam family "Eukaryotic small subunit ribosomal RNA", at positions 25 to 549 of the family's 1831-position model. The record is from RNAcentral.